This 458-nucleotide ribosomal RNA is filed under the name uncultured bacterium. Its description in RNAcentral is "partial 16S ribosomal RNA". It matches the Rfam family "Bacterial small subunit ribosomal RNA", at positions 338 to 793 of the family's 1533-position model. The record is from RNAcentral.
CCUACGGGUGGCAGCAGUGAGGAAUAUUGGUCAAUGGGCGCAAGCCUGAACCAGCCAAGUCGCGUGAGGGAUGACGGUCCUAUGGAUUGUAAACCUCUUUUGUCGGGGAGCAAGGCCCGCCACGUGUGGCGGGAAGGAGAGUACCCGAAGAAAAAGCCUCGGCUAACUCCGUGCCAGCAGCCGCGGUAAUCCGGAGGAUGCGAGCGUUAUCCGGAUUUAUUGGGUUAAAAGGGUGCGUAGGCGGAAGGUUAAGUAAGUGGUCAAAAGUGGGUGCUCAACACCGGCCUGCCGUUGAAACUGGUCUGCUUGAGUGAGCGAGAAGUAUGCGGAAUGCGGGGUGUAGCGGUGAAAUGCAUAGAUAUCACGCAGAACUCCGAUUGCGAAGGCAGCAUACCGGCGCUCAACUGACGCUGAGGCACGAAAGCGUGGGGAUCGAACAGGAUUAGAUACCCCGUAUC